This 450-nucleotide ribosomal RNA is filed under the name uncultured bacterium. Its description in RNAcentral is "bacterial SSU rRNA". It matches the Rfam family "Bacterial small subunit ribosomal RNA", at positions 354 to 796 of the family's 1533-position model. The record is from RNAcentral.
GUGGGGAAUAUUGGACAAUGGGCGAAAGCCUGAUCCAGCCAUGCCGCGUGUGUGAAGAAGGUCUUCGGAUUGUAAAGCACUUUAAGUUGGGAGGAAGGGCAGUAAGUUAAUACCUUGCUGUUUUGACGUUACCGACAGAAUAAGCACCGGCUAACUUCGUGCCAGCAGCCGCGGUAAUACGAAGGGUGCAAGCGUUAAUCGGAAUUACUGGGCGUAAAGCGCGCGUAGGUGGUUCGUUAAGUUGGAUGUGAAAGCCCCGGGCUCAACCUGGGAACUGCAUCCAAAACUGGCGAGCUAGAGUACGGUAGAGGGUGGUGGAAUUUCCUGUGUAGCGGUGAAAUGCGUAGAUAUAGGAAGGAACACCAGUGGCGAAGGCGACUACCUGGACUGAUACUGACACUGAGGUGCGAAAGCGUGGGGAGCAAACAGGAUUAGAUACCCCUGUAGUCC